GAUGAAGAACGCAGUGAAAUGCGAUAAGUAAUGUGAAUUGCAGAAUUCAGUGAAUCAUCGAAUCUUUGAACGCACAUUGCGCCCUCUGGUAUUCCGGGGGGCAUGCCUGUUCGAGCGUCAUUAUAACCACUCAAGCUCUCGCUUGGUAUUGGGGCUCGCGGUUCCGCGGCCCCUAAAAUCAGUGGCGGUGCCUGUCGGCUCUACGCGUAGUAAUACUCCUCGCGAUUGAGUCCGGUAGGUCUACUUGCCAGCAACCCCCAAUUUUUACAGGUUGACCUCGGAUCAGGUAGGGAUACCCGCUGAACUUAAGCAUAUCAAUAGCGGAGGA
Molecule: unclassified non-coding RNA, 328 nt
Filed under: soil metagenome
Description: partial contains 5.8S ribosomal RNA, internal transcribed spacer 2, and large subunit ribosomal RNA
Rfam family: 5.8S ribosomal RNA (bases 1-120)
Source: RNAcentral